UGCAAGUCGAGCGGACAGAUGGGAGCUUGCUCCCUGAUGUUAGCGGCGGACGGGUGAGUAACACGUGGGUAACCUGCCUGUAAGACUGGGAUAACUCCGGGAAACCGGGGCUAAUACCGGAUGGUUGUUUGAACCGCAUGGUUCAGACAUAAAAGGUGGCUUCGGCUACCACUUACAGAUGGACCCGCGGCGCAUUAGCUAGUUGGUGAGGUAACGGCUCACCAAGGCGACGAUGCGUAGCCGACCUGAGAGGGUGAUCGGCCACACUGGGACUGAGACACGGCCCAGACUCCUACGGGAGGCAGCAGUAGGGAAUCUUCCGCAAUGGACGAAAGUCUGACGGAGCAACGCCGCGUGAGUGAUGAAGGUUUUCGGAUCGUAAAGCUCUGUUGUUAGGGAAGAACAAGUGCCGUUCAAAUAGGGGCGGCACCUUGACGGUACCUAACCAGAAAGCCACGGGCUAACUACGUGCCAGCAGCCGCGGUUAUACGUAGGUGGCAAGCGUUGUCCGGAAAUAUUUGGGGCGUAAAGGGCUCCGCAGGCGGGUUCUUAUA
Molecule: ribosomal RNA, 554 nt
Filed under: Bacillus sp. (in: firmicutes)
Lineage: Bacteria; Bacillati; Bacillota; Bacilli; Caryophanales; Bacillaceae
Description: bacterial SSU rRNA
Rfam family: Bacterial small subunit ribosomal RNA
Source: RNAcentral